Molecule: ribosomal RNA, 342 nt
Filed under: Stegopterna mutata
Lineage: Eukaryota; Metazoa; Arthropoda; Insecta; Diptera; Simuliidae
Description: partial 16S ribosomal RNA
Source: RNAcentral
GCAUAAUCAUUAGUCUUUUAAUUGAAGGCUGGUAUGAAGGGUUGGAUGAGAUACAAGCUGUGUCAUAGAAAUUAAAAUUUGAAUUUACCUUUUUAGUCAAAAGGCUAAAAUAAUAUUAAAAGACGAGAAGACCCUAUAGAGCUUUAUAUAAUAAAUAUUUAAAUUAUUUAGAUUUUUAAAAUUUAAUUAUUUCUUUUAUAUUUUGUUGGGGUGACAAUAAAAUUUAUUAAACUUUUAUUUUUUAUUAACAUUAAUUUAUGAAUAAAUGAUCCAGUUUUAUUGAUUAUAAAUUUAAGUUACCUUAGGGAUAACAGCGUAAUUUUUUUUGAGAGUUCUUAUCGG